GUCCUAUGGCCAUAGCCAGAUGAAGAGAGGAGAAAAAAUAGGGGUUCAAGUGCCCCAUUUAAAGAAGAAGAAGAAGAAGAAGAGAGUACCUCUCUUCACUUUCUUUCCUUUUUUAUUUUAAUUUUUCUUGCUCCUCUCUGUCACUAACUAGGUUGAGGAGAAUUAAAAAAAAAAGACUAAGGGGACUUGGAGUAGACCCCUAGCAAGUCAUAGAGUGUUUAAAUUAAAUAAUUUAUAUUUUAUUAUUUUUAAUAUUGAG
Molecule: long non-coding RNA, 259 nt
Filed under: Elaeis guineensis (African oil palm)
Lineage: Eukaryota; Viridiplantae; Streptophyta; Magnoliopsida; Arecales; Arecaceae
Description: long non-coding RNA (EGUI_LNC054545)
Source: RNAcentral